RNAcentral lists this ribosomal RNA (253 nucleotides) under uncultured bacterium. Its description in RNAcentral is "partial 16S ribosomal RNA". It matches the Rfam family "Bacterial small subunit ribosomal RNA", at positions 524 to 776 of the family's 1533-position model. The record is from RNAcentral.
UACGUAGGGUGCGAGCGUUAAUCGGAAUUACUGGGCGUAAAGCGUGCGCAGGCGGCUAUGCAAGACAGAUGUGAAAUCCCCGGGCUUAACCUGGGAACUGCAUUUGUGACUGCAUGGCUAGAGUGUGUCAGAGGGGGGUAGAAUUCCACGUGUAGCAGUGAAAUGCGUAGAUAUGUGGAGGAAUACCGAUGGCGAAGGCAGCCCCCUGGGAUAGCACUGACGCUCAUGCACGAAAGCGUGGGGAGCAAACAGG